Ananas comosus (pineapple) is the source of this 1064-nucleotide long non-coding RNA. RefSeq lists it as uncharacterized. Lineage: Eukaryota; Viridiplantae; Streptophyta; Magnoliopsida; Poales; Bromeliaceae. The record is from RefSeq and is a predicted model, not a curated record. The transcript has 3 exons.
CGAAACCUCCUUCUCCUUUCGCGUUCCUCCCAUCUUCUCCACCGCCGCCGCCCCCGCCUGCGACGCCGGCGUCGACCUCAAGCGGGGCAUGCUGAUGGCGGCGUGAGCCGGCCGCCAAGUCUCCCAGAAGACGCUGUGGGUCUGGGUCGGCUUCUCGCGCUCGCGCCCGCGCCCGCAGCGCCGUCCUUCCUCGUCGUCCGCCGGAGUUUCGCCUGAGCGCCCUUCCCGCCGGUUCACCCUGCCGAGCUCGCUCCUUCACCAACCUGCUGCUGCCACUUUUAUUCUCCAUUUUAACUAGUAAAGUUGCGAUUUUUACUACUUUUCUUCUACUAACUACCACUAUUGCUUCUCUUCUUCUCCCCGGUUGUUAUACUUACCUCCUCUCCUCUGUUACUACUACUACUACUAGUACUGCUUCAGGUCGUUACACUAGCCAAUAAAAGUAGUUUAGUUGCCAUCUGGUUUUAUGUGCCACAGUUUACUAGGUUAGUUCCCCUCUGGUUUUGUAGGCUCCCCCUCUCCCUCUCUCCCGCCUCCCCCCUUUUCCCCUCGACUCCCUCUUUUCGAGUAGUAAAUCUAGGGUUUCUCCCCUCCCCACCUUCGAAACAAGCUCCGGUGAUGGCGAUCACGGCCCAGUCGCCGGACAUCCUCGGGGAGCGCCAUUCCGGCCAGGACGUCCGCACCCAGAACGUGAUGGCAUGCCAAGCUGUCGCCAACAUCGUGAAGUCGUCGCUCGGACCCGUCGGUCUUGACAAGUGGCAAACGUACAAAUGGAGUGAUUUGCUGGUGCCCGUAUCCAUCGAGUUGAUAGAAAGGCCUCAAGGAUGAUGCAUGCGGAUGCCAAAACUCUAGUCUCCAUUAUCAUGUAGUGUUUUCCUUGUACUUUUGUUACAUUUGGUAUAAAUGCUUCUAUAGUCAAGAUCUGUUGGACAUCUUAGAGUACAUCUGUUGAUCGAUUUAAAUAGGCUGAUGUGGCAACAAAGCGACCUUUCUAGACUAGAGUCCAUAUGAGUAUAUGAGGGACUGAGUUAUCCUAUUUAUUGUGGGGAACCUAUGCUUUAGCC